GUUUAAUGAUGGUUUCAAAUGUCUGACCUGAAUUGCACGUGUAGAGAACAAGAUUACUGAAGAA
This is a small nucleolar RNA of Polyodon spathula (Mississippi paddlefish), 64 nucleotides long. NCBI's taxonomy places the organism in Eukaryota, Metazoa, Chordata, Actinopteri, Acipenseriformes, Polyodontidae. The record is from RefSeq and is a predicted model, not a curated record.